CCUACGGGAGGCAGCAGUGAGGAAUAUUGGUCAAUGGACGGAAGUCUGAACCAGCCAUGCCGCGUGCAGGAUGACGGCUCUAUGAGUUGUAAACUGCUUUUGUACGGGAACAAUUGUUCUUACGUGUAGGGAUUUGACUGUAUCGUACGAAUAAGGAUCGGGUAACUUCGUGACAGGAGCCGAGGUAAUACCGAGUAUUCGAGCGUUAUCCGGUAUUAUUGGGUGUAAAGGGUGCGUACGAUGGUGGAUAACGUAGAGGUGAAAUGUUGGGGCUUAACCCCGUGCCUGCCUUUGAUACUGUUCGACUAGAGAGCGGGUGAAGCAGGCGGAAUGAGUAGUGUAGCGGUGAAAUGCUUAGAUAUUACGCAGAACACCGAUUGCGCAGGCAGCUUGCUAAUCCGCAACUGACGCUGAUGCACGAAAGCGUGGGUAGCGAACAGGAUUAGAUACCCGAGUAGUC
This 460-nucleotide ribosomal RNA is filed under the name uncultured bacterium. Its description in RNAcentral is "partial 16S ribosomal RNA". It matches the Rfam family "Bacterial small subunit ribosomal RNA", at positions 338 to 795 of the family's 1533-position model. The record is from RNAcentral.